UACGUAGGGUGCGAGCGUUAAUCGGAUUUACUGGGCGUAAAGCGUGCGGAGGCGGCCCGUUAAGACAGGUGUGAAAUCCCUGGGCUCAACCUAGGAAUUGCGCUUGUGACUGGCGGGCUCGAGUACGGUAGAGGGGGGUGGAAUUCCUGGUGUAGCAGUGAAAUGCGUAGAGAUCAGGAGGAACACCGAUGGCGAAGGCAGCCCCCUGGGCCUGUACUGACGCUCAUGCACGAAAGCGUGGGGAGCAAACAGG
Molecule: ribosomal RNA, 253 nt
Filed under: uncultured microorganism
Description: partial 16S ribosomal RNA
Rfam family: Bacterial small subunit ribosomal RNA
Source: RNAcentral